GAUGCAACGUGCAGGAUUGACCCAGAAUGACCUUCUAUUCUCACUGCCUAAAGAUUGGGCUGUCUGGGAGGGGCCCAACCACCUUGUCCCUGCAGGAGGAAAUUGAUUCCAGGAUUCCUGAGGAUAUCAGAAUCUGUGGCUGCUCAAGUCUCUUAUACAAAAUGGAAGUAGCGUCAGGACUGGUCUUUCCUGAACUCAGGUUUGCAAUCCUCCACUCCUUGCAGUCUGACAAGCAGAGAGAAUUUCUUCAGAGACAAAACUGCUGAGAUGCUCCUUGGCUGAAAGCCUCCAUGGCCUGCUGCUGCUAUGUCUUAGGAUGACCUACAAGGCUCAGCAUGUCUGUGCCUUCAUCUCAGGCAACUAGGGGUCCCCUCUUGGUGCUGCCAAAGUCCUCUCUUGUGAUUCAUGCUCCUUAGAGUUAGUUGUACAACAUGGGGGAUUAUUCUCUACCCAAACUCUUGUUUUUUAGCUUCAUUACCCUUCUUAAGCUCUCUUAAUAUGCGAUGUCUUUUACCACUUGCAGUCAUCUGCACAGGCUGUUUUCUCUUGGUCCAGAAUAACCCUUGCUCUUUUAGAUGGAGAUCUUAACUAUCUGCCUCAGAGUAGAUCUGCAACAAUUGCUUUCCAUUCAUUGGCACCCUGUUCUCUCUGAACAUUGAUCACAUUUGUGCUUACACAGUUAGAUGAGACAUUAUUUGUGUGACUGUCUCUGCCAUUAGAUGGAAACCCAUGAUUGCAGGACUAUGAUCUGCCAUGCUCUUGGCACCAUGCCUUACACAGGGAGGGGCUCAGUGUUUGUCAAAUGAAUACUUUAUCUGGGGGAAAAAAGUCAAAACUAGUUUACAAGGAGGCAUCAGGGGAGGAUAAUAUUGAUGGUUUCCUCGUGAGAAGGGAUAACAAACAGAAAUUAAUUGUGUGCUGCCUUUUAAUUAGAUGCAUGUAAAAGGUCAUCAUUAGGACUGGCUGGGAAUCUUUAUUAUUAUAUUGUAGCGAGCACAACAUAUCUAUAAGGCUUUAAGGGUCCCCAGAAGACUCCCAUCCCGGUUAUUUUCUCACCCUAUUUAGUUUCCUCAUCUGCGACCUCUGCUUCUCUGUGUGAAGUCUCCUUGCUCUUUCAGACCAAGGAGACUUUCAGACCAAGAGAACAGUCUGUGCAAAUGUCUGGAGCAGUGCUUCUCAGCCCUGGCUUCACCUCUGGGGAGUUUUUCUAAGACACUAAUGCCCUUGCUUUACCCCCUGAAAUUCUGAUGUAAUCGUUUAGAGUGAGUCGCAGGCACCCUGGAUUAAGAAACGCUGACUGACAUUCUAUACCAUGUGCGAAUAACUCUUCAGGGAAAUGCCCAAUACAGGAAAAUUGGAAGUUCAUUUAUUUAUUUACUUAUUUAUUUUUGGGACUGGAUGGACAAAGAUUUACUUUUUAGUCCAUUAGGCCAAUAUACUUCUUAAAGUAACUCAGAAGAGAGAUAAAUGCACUCUCUCGAAUAAACAAUUAAAAUAAUUAAAAAUCACAUAUAGGUUUGGUGCAGCAGCGUCACUCUUGAGCUGGCUGAGUUCCCUGAAAUAUCUGUCCCCACAAGUCAAGCUAAGCCUUCUCCUGAGCCUCUCCCCAAGGGAUCCUGCCAGCCACAAGAUCUCAUUUCUCUGACACCUGCUGCCACCAUCUACAGCCCUCUCCAGGUAGGAAUAGAAGCUGUUCAGUCACCUUUCCUCUUCUCUACCUCUUUCUUUCCCCCAUCUCUUCCCUUUUCAAAGACUAUUCUUUCCCUAAAACAACUGAGUAAUAGCAACACAUGUUGUCAAACCAAACACACACACACACACACAUACACACACACACACACACACACAUCCCUAGAGGCUCCAAUCAAGGAAGAAAGAAAAGAGCAGGCACCAUAUUCGAGGGAACAUCAAGUCAUCCAAAUGUAAUUAAGAGUUUCUUUCUCAGCCAGGACUUUUAAUUGUUGCUUCUGCUCCUGAGCACCCAUCUGCUUUUAGAAAAGGUGUCCUCUGCAUCCGUGAGCUUUCCAAAUGCCCUUCAGCCUAUCAGAGCGUCCUACUACAUUGCACUUGUCAUAUCGGGAUUCUUGAAUAUCAAAAAUGUCAGCCCAGCCUUUGCUUUGAGAAUGAAAAUAAAAAUGCAAAUUUGAUUUUA
Molecule: long non-coding RNA, 2152 nt
Organism: Pan troglodytes (chimpanzee)
Lineage: Eukaryota; Metazoa; Chordata; Mammalia; Primates; Hominidae
Exons: 3
Source: RefSeq, a predicted model, not a curated record